Molecule: long non-coding RNA, 2762 nt
Organism: Syngnathus acus (greater pipefish)
Lineage: Eukaryota; Metazoa; Chordata; Actinopteri; Syngnathiformes; Syngnathidae
Exons: 3
Source: RefSeq, a predicted model, not a curated record
CAACACCACUUGUGUGUAUAAAGACGCCAAAAUGAUACGCAUGCCACUAUCUGCCAAUGGAUUGUGGACGCCUAGGCUGAUAUAUCAGUCUCAACUCUGGUCCGAGCUUUCGCGAAGGCAGGAAUAAUAACUGAACUGCCAGGGAAGAGCAGCGACACUGACACGGAUAAUGACGAGAGGGAGCCGGGGCAUAAUGAAUGCCGUACUCGCCCAACUGUUCAAUUCGGAGACGGAAGACAAAGAAUUUGACGGAUUUGUGGACGGGGAUAUGUAAAUAUGUACAUUAACAUUUGAACAACGUCGUGUUAUUGUGCAAUGUUUGCAUUGUAAAUCGUUCAACUGUCCAAAAAACUUCAAUUCGGACACGGAAGAGGAAGAAUUCGACAGAUUCAUGGACGGGGAUAUGAGAGGCAUGCAGUAUAGUAUACUAUGGCAGAAGAAUGGACUCGCUGGAGUUCGCCGUUGCAGAUCAGCGUGCGCAAAGUACAGUACUUUAUAAGGAACAGCAAUAACAUCUCCACUUACGGAUGAUCUAAAGUAUGAUGUGUCAGUGGAGGAACACUGCACACCAAUAGCAGUACCAUAGGCACGCUGACCAUCCAGCUGCAGCCCUGGCCCUGUGGGUAAGACAGGCAGGUCAGAAUGCCGCUGGCUGUCCACCCACUACGCAGCAGUAUUAACAGGCUUGUAGCAAAUGCAUGGACCAGUAGCAUGGCCUGGUGCUGUCCCCCUGCUACACAGCCAGUCCACCCCAGCCCUCCAGGACAGAUAUCCAGGAAGUAUGCUUGACUUGGCUGUGAAUGUGGAUGGCACAUGUCCUUGUACAGAGUGCCACUCACAUUAUAAAAACUGAGUGUAGCCUACGUCACACAAGAAUGAGGGAUGGUGAAGCUAUUUCUGAACCAGGAUUGUCUGUCCUGGGGUAAUACUACACUGCCAAUGUUUUGACUUCAACAUAGUAUAAGCCGUUUGAAGAUACACUGACUUAAUCAACAUUCUGCAAUGUCAGUGUUUUUCUUCCUUUUUUAACAGCUAUGAUCAUCAUGUCAAAAAAACUAACACCAUGUGAGUCCAUAUGCAAGCUAGAAAAAAUGAGUAGGAAAAGAACUAUGCCAGAUUUAAAGGGGGAGCCAACCCCAAAAUUUUCUCUGUAAUAAUAUGGUCUGUGCUGCCCAACUAGUCAACACACAGUACCAAUCAAGGCUCACCAGUUUUAUUAAGCUGAGCUGUGGUUGGUUGUGAGUCUUGUGACCUAAGACCUGCCAACUGUGAUGUCAUUGUCAGUCAACAGCAAGUGGCAAAAUGGCCGCCCUCUUCAUCUUCUUUUGAACCUCACGAGGGUCACGGGUGUGCUGGAGCCUAGCUCAGCUGACUUCGGGCAGAGGACACCCUUAACCAGUUGCCAGCCAAUCGCAGGGCACACAUCGACAAACAACCACACUCACACAUACGGGCAAUUUGGAGUGGUCGAGAUGGAUAAAGUGGGUGAAUUUUGUUGCAAUAUCCACAAACGCAAUAUUAAUCAGAAUGCCAUCUUUAGACUAGUGGGGACAGAUAUAACAUAUUAAUGUGCUAGGUGCCUGGUGAAAAAGCUGAAAUCCUGUUUGUUUGUUUGGUGUUUGUUUGUUUGUUUGUUUGUUUGUUUGUUUGUUUGUUUGUUUGUUUGUUUGUUUGUUUGUUUGUUUGUUUGUUUGUUUUUUACUUGAACCAAGAACUGCUGUAUCUUAGACAUUAUAUGGGAGCAAUGAGGUUCAGGGUGUUCUGCCUUAAAUGUGUUAUUCCUUCAGGGGAAGAACAGCCUAAUAGGCAACAUACCUGCAUUCUGAAUGCCUAAAUAUAGCAUGCAUGUUGUGGUCCAGCAUGGCCUUGAUGACCCCUGACUAACUUCUGGCCAUAGUGGCACAGCAGUAAAACCCAUCUAUUUGGCUGGGAGAAGGACGUGUCGACAUUGUUAUGCAUGGACAUUUGUUUUUUUGUUUGAUACAAACAAUACAGAUGCAGAUUCCUGUUUUGAGUAAUCUUAGGAAGGCAGCAUCAGUUGCCAUGGCAACUUUGCACCCUCGUUUUGUGCGCCGUAGGAGACUCACCUGAAGUGCAAUGAAUUGAGUCGUUUUUGAACACCCAAUGAGGUUAAGGCUUUUUCUAUAGGAGCGCGUAUGAAGCGGAAACAGCUUUAAGAUGUUCAUAAAAUCAAACGUGAAGAGUCUUUUGAAUGACACCCACAGGGAAUGCAUUCAUUGAAGAGUUGCUCCACCCAGAGUGGAUACGUACAUUCCACUUAAGUUGAUGGAAGGUUCUAUCCAGCCAAGAAAGUGUGCAACUGAGAGAAUUGUCUGGUUUGAGCAUGCAGGAGAAUUUCUAAGCACAGUAAGAACAUAACAUUCAUCCAUUAUCUGAACUGCCUUUUCUUCCCGAGUGUUGCGGGCUAGCGCUGGUGCCCAUCCCAGCAGUCUUGGGCAGUUGGCGGGGUACACUCUGAGCUGGUCGCCAGCCAAUCACAGGGCACACAUAAACAGACAUUCACACUCACACCUUCGGACAAUUUGGAGUGGUCAAUCGGCUUAGCAUGCAAGUUUUUUGGAAUGUAGGAGGAAACAGGAGCACACGGAUGAAACCCACGCAGGCACGGGGAGAGCAUGCAAACUCCACACAGGAUGGCCAGUAUUGAACCCACAACCUCUACACUCUGAGGCGAACGUGAUUGAGAGUACAGUGAAAGCAAAGCAUGAGUGGUACAAAUAAAAGCUAUUUCUCACUCUAAA